This 715-nucleotide ribosomal RNA is filed under the name uncultured Halomonas sp. RNAcentral's name for it is "bacterial SSU rRNA". It matches the Rfam family "Bacterial small subunit ribosomal RNA", at positions 730 to 1443 of the family's 1533-position model. Lineage: Bacteria; Pseudomonadati; Pseudomonadota; Gammaproteobacteria; Oceanospirillales; Halomonadaceae. The record is from RNAcentral.
UGGACUGACACUGACACUGAGGUGCGAAAGCGUGGGUAGCAAACAGUUAUUAGAUACCCUGGUAGUCCACGCCGUAAACGAUGUCGACCAGCCGUUGGGUGCCUAGCGCACUUUGUGGCGAAGUUAACGCGAUAAGUCGACCGCCUGGGGAGUACGGCCGCAAGGUUAAAACUCAAAUGAAUUGACGGGGGCCCGCACAAGCGGUGGAGCAUGUGGUUUAAUUCGAUGCAACGCGAAGAACCUUACCUACUCUUGACAUCCUGCGAACUUGUGAGAGAUCACUUGGUGCCUUCGGGAACGCAGAGACAGGUGCUGCAUGGCUGUCGUCAGCUCGUGUUGUGAAAUGUUGGGUUAAGUCCCGUAACGAGCGCAACCCUUGUCCUUAUUUGCCAGCGCGUAAUGGCGGGAACUCUAAGGAGACUGCCGGUGACAAACCGGAGGAAGGUGGGGACGACGUCAAGUCAUCAUGGCCCUUACGAGUAGGGCUACACACGUGCUACAAUGGUCGGUACAAAGGGUUGCCAACUCGCGAGAGUGAGCCAAUCCCGAAAAGCCGAUCUCAGUCCGGAUCGGAGUCUGCAACUCGACUCCGUGAAGUCGGAAUCGCUAGUAAUCGUGGAUCAGAAUGCCACGGUGAAUACGUUCCCGGGCCUUGUACACACCGCCCGUCACACCAUGGGAGUGGACUGCACCAGAAGUGGGUUAGCCUAACGCA